This 512-nucleotide ribosomal RNA is filed under the name uncultured bacterium. RNAcentral describes it as "partial 16S ribosomal RNA". It matches the Rfam family "Bacterial small subunit ribosomal RNA", at positions 28 to 507 of the family's 1533-position model. The record is from RNAcentral.
GGCGAACGCUGGCGGCGUGCCUAAUACAUGCAAGUCGAGCGAGCGGAACUAACAGAUUUACUUCGGUAAUGACGUUAUGAAAGCGAGCGGCGGAUGGGUGAGUAACACGUGGGGAACCUGCCCCAUAGUCUGGGAUACCACUUGGAAACAGGUGCUAAUACCGGAUAAGAAAGCAGAUCGCAUGAUCAGCUUUUAAAAGGCGGCGUAAGCUGUCGCUAUGGGAUGGCCCCGCGGUGCAUUAGCUAGUUGGUAAGGUAAAGGCUUACCAAGGCGAUGAUGCAUAGCCGAGUUGAGAGACUGAUCGGCCACAUUGGGACUGAGACACGGCCCAAACUCCUACGGGAGGCAGCAGUAGGGAAUCUUCCACAAUGGACGCAAGUCUGAUGGAGCAACGCCGCGUGAGUGAAGAAGGUUUUCGGAUCGUAAAGCUCUGUUGUUGGUGAAGAAGGAUAGAGGUAGUAACUGGCCUUUAUUUGACGGUAAUCAACCAGAAAGUCACGGCUAACUACGUG